RNAcentral lists this ribosomal RNA (467 nucleotides) under uncultured bacterium. RNAcentral's name for it is "partial 16S ribosomal RNA". It matches the Rfam family "Bacterial small subunit ribosomal RNA", at positions 28 to 507 of the family's 1533-position model. The record is from RNAcentral.
GAUGAACGCUGGCGGCGUGCUUAACACAUGCAAGUCGAACGGAAAGGCCCAAGCUUGCUUGGGUACUCGAGUGGCGAACGGGUGAGUAACACGUGGGUGAUCUGCCCUGCACUUCGGGAUAAGCCUGGGAAACUGGGUCUAAUACCGGAUAGGACCACUUCUUGGAUGGUGGGGUGGAAAGUUUUUUCGGGGUGGGAUGAGCUCGCGGCCUAUCAGCUUGUUGGUGGGGUAAUGGCCUACCAAGGCGUCGACGGGUAUCCGGCCUGAGAGGGUGUACGGCCACAUUGGGACUGAGAUACGGCCCAGACUCCUACGGGAGGCAGCAGUGGGGAAUAUUGCACAAUGGGCGCAAGCCUGAUGCAGCGACGCCGCGUGGGGGAUGACGGCCUUCGGGUUGUAAACUCCUUUCGCUAGGGACGAAGCGUUUUGUGACGGUACCUGGAGAAGAAGCACCGGCUAACUACGUG